RNAcentral lists this long non-coding RNA (215 nucleotides) under Capsicum annuum. RNAcentral describes it as "long non-coding RNA (CANN_LNC018828)". The record is from RNAcentral. Lineage: Eukaryota; Viridiplantae; Streptophyta; Magnoliopsida; Solanales; Solanaceae.
UAACCCCUCCAAGAUCGGGGCAGAAGAACUCUGUGGGACCUGAGUAGGCCCCAUAUCUCUAGCAUGCUCAGCCUAAGGCUCAAGAAAAAUCCCCCUAAUACUACCUAUGGAAGGGAAAGAUCUUUGUGGCUUUCCACAACUCACAAAUCUCCCUCUAGACUGAUCUCUCUCCUCAGAUGAUGGUUUAACAUCUCUAACCUCAUGGAAUCUAGUCC